GUGCCAGCCGCUGCGGUAAUACGAAGGGUGCAAGCGUUACUCGGAAUUACUGGGCGUAAAGCGUGCGUAGGCGGUCUGUUAAGUCCGUUGUGAAAGCCCUGGGCUCAACCUGGGAAUUGCAGUGGAUACUGGCGGGCUAGAGUGCGGUAGAGGAUGGUGGAAUUCCCGGUGUAGCGGUGAAAUGCGUAGAGAUCGGGAGGAACACCCGUGGCGAAGGCGGCCAUCUGGACCAGCACUGACGCUGAGGCACGAAAGCGUGGGAGCAAACAGGAUUAGAUACCCUGGUAGUCCACGCCCUAACGAUGCGAACCUGGACGUUGGGUGGACUUAGCCACUCAGUGUCGAAGCUAACGCGUUAAGUUCGCCGCCUGGGGGUACGUCGCAGCUGAACUCAAGGAUUGACGGGGCCGCACGAGCGGUGGAGU
RNAcentral lists this ribosomal RNA (425 nucleotides) under uncultured Dokdonella sp. Its description in RNAcentral is "bacterial SSU rRNA". It matches the Rfam family "Bacterial small subunit ribosomal RNA", at positions 505 to 938 of the family's 1533-position model. The record is from RNAcentral. Lineage: Bacteria; Pseudomonadati; Pseudomonadota; Gammaproteobacteria; Lysobacterales; Rhodanobacteraceae.